Molecule: long non-coding RNA, 203 nt
Filed under: Elaeis guineensis (African oil palm)
Lineage: Eukaryota; Viridiplantae; Streptophyta; Magnoliopsida; Arecales; Arecaceae
Description: long non-coding RNA (EGUI_LNC064370)
Source: RNAcentral
UAUUUAAAUUUUAUUCUAUUGUGAUGCAUUGAUAUCGUGAUGAGAUGUUUUGCAUACUUAUGGAGAGAGUUCUUCUUAAGUAUGCGGUGGUUGCCAUAACCUCUGACUUACGAUUUUGGAUCGGGGGCAUGAUAAUUUAUAUGGUAUCAGAGCAUAAGUAGAUAAACUAUAUUGUUGCCCAGCUAUGCAAUCUAAGAGGGGGG